This 389-nucleotide ribosomal RNA is filed under the name uncultured Pseudomonadota bacterium. Its description in RNAcentral is "bacterial SSU rRNA". It matches the Rfam family "Bacterial small subunit ribosomal RNA", at positions 1 to 418 of the family's 1533-position model. Lineage: Bacteria; Pseudomonadati; Pseudomonadota. The record is from RNAcentral.
UAGUGAGUUUGAUCCUGGCUCAGAGCGAACGCUGGCGGAAUGCUUAACACAUGCAAGUCGCACGGGGGCUUCGGCCUUAGUGGCGGACGGGUGAGUAACGCGUAGGAAUGUGUCCGAGGAUGGGGGAUAACGUUGGGAAACUGACGCUAAUACCGCAUAACUCCUGAGGGAGAAAGCCGCGAGGCGUCUACGGAGCAGCCUGCGUACGAUUAGCUUGUUGGUGGGGUAAAGGCUUACCAAGGCGACGAUCGUUAGCUGGUCUGAGAGGAUGAUCAGCCACACUGGGACUGAGACACGGCCCAGACUCCUACGGGGAGGCAGCAGUGGGGAAUAUUGGGACAAUGGGCGCAAGCCUGAUGCAGCGACGCCGCGUGAGGGAUGACGGCCUU